AGAGUUUGAUCAUGGCUCAGAACGAACGCUGGCGGCAGGCCUAACACAUGCAAGUCGAGCGCCCGCAAGGGAGCGGCAGACGGGUGAGUAACGCGUGGGAACGUGCCCUUUGGUUCGGAAUAUUCCCGGGAAACUGGGAGCAAAACCGGAUAAGCCCUUCGGGGGAAAGUUUACGCCAAAGGAUCGGCCCGCGUUAGAUUAGGUAGUUGGUGGGGUAACGGCCUACCAAGCCUACGAUCUAUAGCUGAUCUGAGAGGAUGAUCAGCCACACUGGGACUGAGACACGGCCCAGACUCCUACGGGAGGCAGCAGUGGGGAAUCUUGGACAAUGGGCGCAAGCCUGAUCCAGCCAUGCCGCGUGGAUGACUGAAGGCCCUAGGGUUGUAAAGUCCUUUCGACGGGGACGAUAAUGACGGUACCCGUAGAAGAAGCCCCGGCUAACUUCGUGCCAGCAGCCGCGGUAAUACGAAGGGGGCUAGCGUUGUUCGGAUUUACUGGGCGUAAAGGGCGCGUAGGCGGAUUUUUAAGUCGGGGGUGAAAUCCCGGAGCUCAACUCCGGAACUGCCUUCGAUACUGAAAGUCUGGAGCACGGUAGAGGUGAGUGGAAUUCCGAGUGUAGAGGUGAAAUUCGUAGAUAUUCGGAGGAACACCAGUGGCGAAGGCGGCUCACUGGACCGUUGCUGACGCUGAGGCGCGAAAGCGUGGGGAGCAAACAGGAUUAGAUACCCCGGUAGU
RNAcentral lists this ribosomal RNA (735 nucleotides) under uncultured bacterium. Its description in RNAcentral is "bacterial SSU rRNA". It matches the Rfam family "Bacterial small subunit ribosomal RNA", at positions 8 to 794 of the family's 1533-position model. The record is from RNAcentral.